GGGACCGGAUAUAUGCUGGUGUGUAUUCAGGCUUGCCUGAUGGGAAGUUAGGAGCUGCCUGGGGAGGUUCGAUUCCUUCACGGUCCCGCCA
RNAcentral lists this transfer RNA (91 nucleotides) under Bacillota bacterium. RNAcentral's name for it is "Firmicutes bacterium (gut metagenome) tRNA-OTHER". It matches the Rfam family "Selenocysteine transfer RNA". Lineage: Bacteria; Bacillati; Bacillota. The record is from RNAcentral.